GUAAGAUGGCCAAAUUCAAGACUCUUUAUUUUUAUUUUAUUUUUUAUUUUUUUUUCAGGGAUGCUGUUAUUUUAUCUAGCAUUGUACCUGAUUUUGGGAGGGUGUGGGGAAUGUACUUGAACAAAAUAUGGGUCGCUUAUACAAUUAGUGCUGUGACUCUUACCCCACUGUAUUUGGAGCAAAUAUUUAUCAGCAAUAUCACACCUGUACUAUGCAGGCUGACUGAGCGCCAACACCUUUUUGGAGAAGCACAACUGGAAAAGCCAUGCCUGCCUCCAGGUUGAGGUAGUAGUUUUGUACAGUUUGAGGGUCUAAGAUACGCCCGGUACUGGAGAUAACUGUACAGGCCACUGCCUUGCCUGAGGCAGAGCACACUCUGCAAAACUGCCCACCAGUGAAUGGUGCCAAAGGGGCUGCCUGCAACAGGUAUGUUUUAUUAAACCGCACAUUUGAUCUGCCAAGAAGGUUACAUAAAUCAAAUGUAGUCCUUUAAACGUGUAAACUUAAAGGUGCGAGCAAAUCCUAGUAUAUCAAUUAAGAUGUUAGGUUUUCGCGAUAUGAAGUGUUGCCUUCCUUGGUCUGAGAAUGGUUUUCUAUUCAGCGUUAUGCUAAUGUUUAUAUUUGUUCAAAGUUUAUGCCGUCUGCCUUUUUGGGCAAGUUAGAAGGUCUAAAUCUCACCAUUACGAUUGUUUCUUUUGUUAAUCGCUUGUUCAUUGUGCUGUCAUCUUUCUAAUAUGCAGCUGGUUGUCUUAUGUCAUUUCUAUUUCCCAUAG
Molecule: long non-coding RNA, 773 nt
Filed under: Ambystoma mexicanum (axolotl)
Lineage: Eukaryota; Metazoa; Chordata; Amphibia; Caudata; Ambystomatidae
Description: pri-let-7g
Rfam family: let-7 microRNA precursor family (bases 276-363)
Source: RNAcentral